Molecule: transfer RNA, 91 nt
Filed under: Pseudomonadota bacterium
Lineage: Bacteria; Pseudomonadati; Pseudomonadota
Description: Proteobacteria bacterium (freshwater metagenome) tRNA-Ser
Rfam family: tRNA
About the family: Transfer RNA (tRNA) molecules are approximately 80 nucleotides in length. Their secondary structure includes four short double-helical elements and three loops (D, anti-codon, and T loops).
Source: RNAcentral
GGAGGGGUGGCCGAGCGGUUGAAGGCGCACGCCUGGAAAGUGUGUUUACGGCAAAACCGUAACGUGAGUUCGAAUCUCAUCCCCUCCGCCA